This 233-nucleotide long non-coding RNA is filed under the name Elaeis guineensis (African oil palm). RNAcentral's name for it is "long non-coding RNA (EGUI_LNC030352)". The record is from RNAcentral. Lineage: Eukaryota; Viridiplantae; Streptophyta; Magnoliopsida; Arecales; Arecaceae.
CCGCCACAGAUCUAGAGUCAAGAUCCUAAAUCACGAAUCUUACUCCACCUUUGCUAAAAUUCCUUACAAAGAAACUUAGCCUUUGUUGCAUUACCUUGUAAGAUGAUAUGAUCCAUACCCUAUGUGCGCUUUAUAGCCAAAUACAUAUGUAAGAAAUGGAAAGUAAAGAAUAUGUGGGGCUAUAUAAUGAAUAUAUGCUAGCAGAUGAAAAGGGUUACCUAAUUUAUAGACCC